AUUGAACGCUGGCGGCAGGCCUAACACAUGCAAGUCGAACGAGUGGCGGCCGGUUGAGUAAUUUCUGGAAAACUGCCUGCUGGGGGGGGAUAACUAUUGAAAACGGUAGAUAAUACCGCAUAGCAUAAGAUGUGCCCAGAGGGGCUUGUCUUGUUGGUGGGGUAAGUGCUCACCCAGGCGACGAUCCCUAGCGGGUCUGAGAGGAUGACCGUCCACACUGGAACUGAGAUACGGUCCAGACUCCUACGGGAGGCAGCAGUGGGGAAUAUUGCACAAUGGGCGCAAGCCUGAUGCAGCGAUGCCGCGUGUAUGAAGAAGGCCUUCGGGUUGUAAAGUACUUUCAGCGGGGAGGCGUUACCCGCAGAAGAAGCACCGGCUAACUCCGUGCCAGCAGCCGCGGUAAUUC
This 406-nucleotide ribosomal RNA is filed under the name uncultured bacterium. RNAcentral's name for it is "partial 16S ribosomal RNA". It matches the Rfam family "Bacterial small subunit ribosomal RNA", at positions 30 to 526 of the family's 1533-position model. The record is from RNAcentral.